Non-coding RNA from Chlamydomonas reinhardtii, 106 nucleotides. Lineage: Eukaryota; Viridiplantae; Chlorophyta; Chlorophyceae; Chlamydomonadales; Chlamydomonadaceae. The record is from Rfam.
GGCGAGGUGGCCGAGCGGUCUAAGGCGCUAGUUUCAGGCACUAGCUGGAUCAUCCAGCGGAAGCUACUAGUCCGAAAGGGCGUGAGUUCAAAUCUCACCCUCGUCA